AUUGAACGCUGGCGGCAUGCUUUACACAUGCAAGUCGAACGGCAGCGCGGGCUUCUUGCUGGCGGCGAGUGGCGAACGGGGGAGUAAUACAUCGGAGCGUGCCCAGUAUUGGGGGGGGGCCCGGCGAAAGCCGGAGUAAUACCACAUACUACCAGAGUUUGAAACCGGGGGACCGAAAGGCCUCGCCGGAUUUGGGCGGCCGAUUCCGGGUUGGCUAGUUGGUGGGUUAAGGGGUUACCAAGGCGGGCAUCCGUAGCUGGUCUGACAGGGCGACCAGCCACACUGGAACUGAGACACGGCCCAGACUCCUACGGGAGGCAGCAGUGGGGAAUGUUGGACAAUGGGGGCAAACCUGAUCCAGCGAUGCCGCGUGAGGGACGAAGGCCUUCGGGUUGUAAACCGCUUUUGUUAGGGAAGAACUCCUCUGGGCUAAUACCCCGGGGGGAUGACGGUACCGGAAGAAUAAGCACCGGCUAACUACGUG
RNAcentral lists this ribosomal RNA (484 nucleotides) under uncultured bacterium. RNAcentral describes it as "partial 16S ribosomal RNA". It matches the Rfam family "Bacterial small subunit ribosomal RNA", at positions 28 to 507 of the family's 1533-position model. The record is from RNAcentral.